Molecule: transfer RNA, 75 nt
Filed under: bacterium
Lineage: Bacteria
Also listed under: 1 other name
Description: tRNA-Pro
Rfam family: tRNA
About the family: Transfer RNA (tRNA) molecules are approximately 80 nucleotides in length. Their secondary structure includes four short double-helical elements and three loops (D, anti-codon, and T loops). Further hydrogen bonds mediate the characteristic L-shaped molecular structure. tRNAs have two regions of fundamental functional importance: the anti-codon, which is responsible for specific mRNA codon recognition, and the 3' end, to which the tRNAs corresponding amino acid is attached (by aminoacyl-tRNA synthetases). tRNAs cope with the degeneracy of the genetic code in two manners: having more than one tRNA (with a specific anti-codon) for a particular amino acid; and 'wobble' base-pairing, i.e. permitting non-standard base-pairing at the 3rd anti-codon position.
Source: RNAcentral
CGGGGUGUAGCUCAGUGGUAGAGUCUGAACUUUGGGGGUUCAGUGUCGGGAGUUCGAAUCUCCCCACCCCGACCA